GCCUUCGUGGUGUAGCGGUCAGCACGCUCGACGCGUGACCGAGAGGUCCGUGGUUCGAUUCCCGUCGAAGGCG
Molecule: transfer RNA, 73 nt
Filed under: Stegodyphus mimosarum
Lineage: Eukaryota; Metazoa; Arthropoda; Arachnida; Araneae; Eresidae
Rfam family: tRNA
About the family: Transfer RNA (tRNA) molecules are approximately 80 nucleotides in length. Their secondary structure includes four short double-helical elements and three loops (D, anti-codon, and T loops). Further hydrogen bonds mediate the characteristic L-shaped molecular structure. tRNAs have two regions of fundamental functional importance: the anti-codon, which is responsible for specific mRNA codon recognition, and the 3' end, to which the tRNAs corresponding amino acid is attached (by aminoacyl-tRNA synthetases). tRNAs cope with the degeneracy of the genetic code in two manners: having more than one tRNA (with a specific anti-codon) for a particular amino acid; and 'wobble' base-pairing, i.e. permitting non-standard base-pairing at the 3rd anti-codon position.
Source: Rfam by way of RNAcentral